CCGCCGCGGUAAACGUAGGGGGCAAGCGUUAUCCGGAAUCACUGGGCGUAAAGGGUCCGCAGGUGUCCCGUUAAGUUAGAUGUUAAAUCGCAAGGCUCAACCUUGCGGCUGCAUCUAAUACUGACAGGAUAGAGGAUAGGUGACGUAAGUGGAAUUCCUGGUGGAGAGGUAAAAUCCGUAGAUAUCAGGAGGAACACCCGUGGCGUAGGCGGCUUCCGAACCUAUUCCUGACACUCAGGGACGAAAGCUAGGGGAGCAAACAGGAUUAGAUACCCUGGUAGUCCUAGCUGUAAACGAUGAAUACUAGAUAGUGGGUGCUACACCGUACUCACCGUCGUAGCUAACGCGUUAAGUAUUUCGCCUGGGAACUACGAUCGCAAGUUUGAAACUCAAAGGAAUUGACGGGUCCCCGCACAAGCAGCGAGGCAUGUGGCUUAAUUCGAUGCAACACGAAGAACCUUACCUGGGCUUGACAUGUUUCUGAAAGGCCGGAGAAACCCGGUCCCUUCCAGUUUACUGGAACAGUUUCACAGGUGGUGCAUGGUUGUCGUCAGCUCGUGUCGUGAGAUGUAAGGUUAAGUCCUUAAACGAGCGUAACCUUUGUCAUUAGUUGCCACCGGUUCGGCCGAGCACUCUAAUGAGACCGCUAGCGACAAGCUAGAGGAAGAUGGAGAUGACGUCAAAUCCUCACGUCCCUUAUGUCCAGGGCCGCACACAUGCGACAAUGGUAGAGACAGCGGGUUGCGACGGGGUAACCCUGAGCUAAUCCAUAAACUCUGCCUCAGUACAGAUCGAGGGCUGAAAUUCGACCUCGUGAAGAUGGAGUUGCUAGUAAACGCAGGUCAGCUAUACUGCGUUGAAUACGUUCCCGGGGAUUGCACUCACCGCC
Molecule: ribosomal RNA, 889 nt
Filed under: uncultured Caldisericota bacterium
Lineage: Bacteria; Pseudomonadati; Caldisericota
Description: bacterial SSU rRNA
Rfam family: Bacterial small subunit ribosomal RNA
Source: RNAcentral